RNAcentral lists this transfer RNA (71 nucleotides) under Nautilus pompilius. Its description in RNAcentral is "tRNA-Ser". The record is from RNAcentral. Lineage: Eukaryota; Metazoa; Mollusca; Cephalopoda; Nautilida; Nautilidae.
UUAAGAAUGAUUGAGAAUGAAGUGGGGCUGCUAACCUUACUUCGGAUGGCUCAAAACCAUCCCUUCUUUAU